AAGUCGUAACAAGGUUUCCGUAGGUGAACCUGCGGAAGGAUCAUUAACGAGUUAGGGUCUUCUAGGCCCGACCUCCCAACCCUAUGUUUAUUGAACCUCUGUUGCUUCGGCGGACCCGCCUCACGGCCGCCGGAGGACCGCUGCAAGGCGUCCUCUGGCCAGCGUCCGCCGAUGGCCAACCACUUAAACUCUGAAUGAAUCGUGUCAUAUGUCUAAGUCUAUGAUUAAAUUAAAGCAAAACUUUCAACAACGGAUCUCUUGGUUCUG
RNAcentral lists this unclassified non-coding RNA (267 nucleotides) under Cladophialophora chaetospira. Its description in RNAcentral is "partial internal transcribed spacer region". The stretch from base 1 to 46 matches the Rfam family "Eukaryotic small subunit ribosomal RNA", at positions 1786 to 1831 of the family's 1831-position model. The record is from RNAcentral. RNAcentral also lists the same sequence under 2 other names. Lineage: Eukaryota; Fungi; Ascomycota; Eurotiomycetes; Chaetothyriales; Herpotrichiellaceae.